RNAcentral lists this ribosomal RNA (522 nucleotides) under Coniolariella hispanica. RNAcentral describes it as "LSU rRNA". It matches the Rfam family "Eukaryotic large subunit ribosomal RNA", at positions 14 to 546 of the family's 3401-position model. Lineage: Eukaryota; Fungi; Ascomycota; Sordariomycetes; Xylariales; Xylariaceae. The record is from RNAcentral.
GGUAGGAAUACCCGCUGAACUUAAGCAUAUCAAUAAGCGGAGGAAAAGAAACCAACAGGGAUUGCCCCAGUAACGGCGAGUGAAGCGGCAACAGCUCAAAUUUGAAAUCUGGCCCUCGGGUCCGAGUUGUAAUUUGUAGAGGAUGCUUUUGGCGCGGUGCCUUCCGAGUUCCCUGGAACGGGACGCCUUAGAGGGUGAGAGCCCCGUACGGUUGGACACCAAGCCUCUGUAAAGCUCCUUCGACGAGUCGAGUAGUUUGGGAAUGCUGCUCUAAAUGGGAGGUAAAUUUCUUCUAAAGCUAAAUAUUGGCCAGAGACCGAUAGCGCACAAGUAGAGUGAUCGAAAGAUGAAAAGCACUUUGAAAAGAGGGUUAAACAGCACGUGAAAUUGUUGAAAGGGAAGCGUUUGCGACCAGACCUCUCCCCGGCGGAUCAUCCGGCGUUCUCGCCGGUGCACUCCGCCGGGCUGAGGCCAGCAUCGGUUUCCGCGGGGGGACAAAAGCGGGGGGAACGUAGCUCNCUC